AGUGAACGCUGGCGGUAGGCCUAACACAUGCCAGUCGAACGGCAGCACAGUAAGAGCUUGCACUUACGGGUGGCGAGUGGCGGACGGGUGAGGAAUACAUCGGAAUCUACUUUUUCGUGGGGGAUAACGUAGGGAAACUUACGCUAAUACCGCAUACGACCUACGGGUGAAAGCAGGGGAUCUUCGGACCUUGCGCGAUUGAAUGAGCCGAUGUCGGAUUAGCUAGUUGGCGGGGUAAAGGCCCACCAAGGCGACGAUCCGUAGCUGGUCUGAGAGGAUGAUCAGCCACACUGGAACUGAGACACGGUCCAGACUCCUACGGGAGGCAGCAGUGGGGAAUAUUGGACAAUGGGCGCAAGCCUGAUCCAGCCAUACCGCGUGGGUGAAGAAGGCCUUCGGGUUGUAAAGCCCUUUUGUUGGGAAAGAAAAGCAGCAGGUUAAUACCCCGCUGUUCUGACGGUACCCAAAGAAUAAGCACCGGCUAACUUCGUG
RNAcentral lists this ribosomal RNA (492 nucleotides) under uncultured bacterium. RNAcentral describes it as "partial 16S ribosomal RNA". It matches the Rfam family "Bacterial small subunit ribosomal RNA", at positions 29 to 507 of the family's 1533-position model. The record is from RNAcentral.